Molecule: long non-coding RNA, 558 nt
Filed under: Polistes fuscatus (common paper wasp)
Lineage: Eukaryota; Metazoa; Arthropoda; Insecta; Hymenoptera; Vespidae
Description: uncharacterized LOC122526272
Source: RNAcentral
CAACGGCAUCCGUCAAACGCGUAACGCUGUCGCCAUCUUGGCACCGAACGCCGUCAGCGCCGUCAAGCGGCCUAACAUCGUACUGCGGUAUGCUCAUGCGCCGCACUCAUGCGCAGCACAAGAUAAACUAGCGCGCUUUUCGAAUUCGUCCUUCGUCGGUAAUAAAAUUGAGAAUACAGAGAAAGAUUCAGAACGGGUACUGAAUAUCGCGUAAUACAUCCCUGACUUCUAUCCGGUCGAUGUUUUCAACUCCAAUAGUAUCUCGACGGACAUGUUAUGUGAUAGUAGAAUACUGUGCGAUACGGAAGGGAAUUUGUUACUAGUUCAUUUGGAAUAUUAUUACGCUUUGUGCUUCUCAGUGGAAUACAUGAGUUAAACGACCACGUGGGCCAUUUAAAAACGUGUCUUACAGUAUGCUUUUAAGAAAACAAAAUUACGAAAGAUUGUUCUCAAAAAAUUUAUAUGAAUUCAUAAGCAUCACGCUCACGCUAUUUAUACGAAUGAGCUAGUGAAAGAAUAUAAAAAAUAUAUAACUAGGUUAAACGAGAAAUAGGAAAA